UCUGCGCGGCGAUUGGUGCCAACAUGCCCUGGCAGGGUGGCGGAACAGAGCAGAGGAGCAGGGGAGCGAGAGCGAAGCAGAGCAGAGGCCGCCGCCAAAGUGGUGCCGGCGGGACAGGCGGAUCAUUCUGCCGACGGGAGGCUGCCCUCCACCCCGGCGUCAUCGUCCUAUUUCAGAGGGCAGAGCUCGGGGUCAUGGCGGCUUGAUUUGAUACAGAGAUGAAGAGACAGAGAGUAGAAUUCACAGAAGAAAGAGGGCACCAGAUUCAGAGUUUCAGGGGAAGAGGUGAAGAGCAGAGUUACAGGUCACAAACUUUUCCAAUGGCAAAAAACAACGGCAAAGCAAACAACUCUCGCUCAAGGGCCGGGACAGCUGUCGACGACGCACCGACUUGCGCUAGACGAUACAGAGCCAACCAUCAGAUCAAGCAGUCCACUUUGGGCCACUGAAUCGUGCAGCUCGGCGGCGCUUUUGCUUAGAGCGUCUGAGUUCUUCAGCUUGUUCUCCUGUACUCUGCUCCAACAUUUCUGCCACAGAUCUUGUAUGCUCCGUACGACUCAUCUUCCAAAAACGAUUUGCAGAGUUUGUGUCUAAUAUUUGUACAAGUUGGGUAAUUGGGUUACUGUUGAACUUCCAGCCAUACAUUGUAUGGAUAGAUCAGUAAGAAGAUACUCGUGGUACAUUAUGUGUAA
This is a non-coding RNA of Aegilops tauschii subsp. strangulata, 692 nucleotides long. The record is from RefSeq and is a predicted model, not a curated record. Lineage: Eukaryota; Viridiplantae; Streptophyta; Magnoliopsida; Poales; Poaceae.